This 716-nucleotide small RNA is filed under the name Pan troglodytes (chimpanzee). RNAcentral's name for it is "sense overlapping". The stretch from base 247 to 481 matches the Rfam family "SOX2 overlapping transcript exon 1". Lineage: Eukaryota; Metazoa; Chordata; Mammalia; Primates; Hominidae. The record is from RNAcentral.
AAUGUUGGGAAUCGAUCUGAUUCCAAGGAUUGAGAAGUUUUGCAGUGGUCAACUGGUAUAGACAUCCCAUUACCACUACUUCCUUCAUUGGACGGCAAGGUAUUUCUGUUUGGAAAAGUAAUGGAGUCCAGUCAACUUCAUUGAUCUCCAAGGACUGUCAAAAUUAUAAAACUUGCUGUGGAGCUCUGACAUGCCAGAAGCCGCUAGAAAAAGAAGUUUGACAUUCAGAAACUUAUCAAGAGGUUCUACUCUUUGGAUAGAGACCAAAAUCAUACUUUGAAUGAUAUGCAAUACAAGACUCCCAAGAUUCUGGGCAGUGGCAGGGAGGCGCAGCUUCUAGUCUGCCACAUGAUCACAAUGUCAGCUGGUCCCUCUUCUCAGGUGUAGAUCACCUAUUCUAAUUUUACCUAAUUUUGAUACUCUGAUAAGGAAAGUCCCAGGACUUAUCAGCUGGGAUAGGCCUCACUUACAAGACAGCUCUGUUCAGUAUUUGGAAGAAAGCCUGACAGGUUUCUUCGGAAAAGUGGCCAUCCAUGGAAUGAAUGAAAUGUUCUCUUUCUAUUCCACCUCUAGAGACCAUCAAAAAACAAUGGCUUAUAAUGCUUUUAGAACAGAAACUGAAGUUGUGUACUGUGCAUGUGUAAUCCUACACAAGAGGAAGGCAAUGUUUAAAGCUGCUGUCACCUCUUAGGGAAAAAACUGGAAUUCUGAGUCAA